This 200-nucleotide ribosomal RNA is filed under the name uncultured bacterium. Its description in RNAcentral is "partial 16S ribosomal RNA". It matches the Rfam family "Bacterial small subunit ribosomal RNA", at positions 28 to 233 of the family's 1533-position model. The record is from RNAcentral.
GAUGAACGCUAGCGGCAGGCCUAACACAUGCAAGUCGAGGGGUAUAGUAGCAAUACUAGAGACCGGCGCACGGGUGCGUAACGCGUAUGCAAUCUACCUUUUACAGGGGAAUAGCCUAGAGAAAUUUGGAUUAAUGCCCCAUGGUAUAUAUGAAUCGCAUGGUUUAUAUAUUAAAGUUCCAACGGUAAAAGAUGAGCAUG